Molecule: ribosomal RNA, 323 nt
Filed under: uncultured eukaryote
Lineage: Eukaryota
Description: partial 18S ribosomal RNA
Rfam family: Eukaryotic small subunit ribosomal RNA
Source: RNAcentral
CCCUUAGAUGUUCUGGGCUGCACGCGUGCUACACUGAUAUUGCCAAUAUGUCAUUCUUAUCCGAAAUGGAUUGGGUAAUCAAGUAAUGAAAUUUCAUGCUUGGAAUCGGUAAUUGCAAUUUUAUCGUGAACGAGGAAUUCCUAGUAAGCACUAGUCAUCAGCUAAUGUUGAUUAUGUCCCUGCCCUUUGUACACACCGCCCGUCGCUACUACUGAUUGGGUGUUCAAGUGAGAUGCUUAGACCCUUGUUGCAUGGUUCAUUAUUGUGCUCCGAAAGGAAAAAGUUUCAAGCUCGAGUGUCUAGAGGAAGUAAAAGUCGUAACA